GGUUUUAUAGUUUAAUUAAAACGUUAAAUUGCAAGUUUGAAGAUAUGUUAGUUAAGACCU
Molecule: transfer RNA, 60 nt
Filed under: Uzeldikra longiprocessa
Lineage: Eukaryota; Metazoa; Arthropoda; Insecta; Hemiptera; Cicadellidae
Description: tRNA-Cys
Source: RNAcentral